GUUGACAUUUUAAGAUUUCUCUGUGUUUUUUCUUCCAGUGUGACAGUCCAAACAUACAGAGAUGGUUUACUCUUAUUCUUCUGGAGAAAUUUGGGGUUUUCUCUGAAAGUGCAGAAACUCGACAAGACGCCCUUCCAAGUAGAACAGACUAUUCUUAGCAGCAGUGAUGAACUCCCAGUGAUCUGACACAUGACAGAAGCUGUGAAAUGGCUCCAUUCCAACAAACAUCUGCUCAGGUUGCCAGUGGAAAAACCUCUUUUCUUUAUAAUGGAUGAAGAGGACAAAGAAAAGGCCUCAACAAUCUCCUGGAACAAUCAGAAACUUCCAGAGUGUCCUUCAAAUGUCAUUUUGUGUUCAGGGAUGAUGUGGAGUUAUUUAUGCAGGAUUGUCAUGGCAAAAUGAG
Molecule: long non-coding RNA, 403 nt
Organism: Labeo rohita (rohu)
Lineage: Eukaryota; Metazoa; Chordata; Actinopteri; Cypriniformes; Cyprinidae
Exons: 3
Source: RefSeq, a predicted model, not a curated record